RNAcentral lists this ribosomal RNA (2205 nucleotides) under marine sediment metagenome. RNAcentral describes it as "bacterial LSU rRNA". It matches the Rfam family "Bacterial large subunit ribosomal RNA", at positions 796 to 2925 of the family's 2925-position model. The record is from RNAcentral.
CUGCUCGGAUGAGCUGUGGAUAGGGGUGAAAGGCCAAUCAAACUACGUGAUAGCUGGUUCUCCUCGAAAUGCAUUUAGGUGCAGCGUCGCGUGUUUCUUGUCGGGGGUAGAGCACUGAUUGGACUAGGGGGCCCAAAAGCUUACCGAAUUCAGUCAAACUCCGAAUACCGAUAAGUGAGAGCGCGGCAGUGAGACUGCGGGGGAUAAGCUCCGUAGUCGAGAGGGAAACAACCCAGACCGCCAGCUAAGGUCCCUAAGUUUGUACUAAGUGGGAAAGGAUGUCAGACAACCAGGAGGUUGGCUUAGAAGCAGCCACCCUUGAAAGAGUGCGUAAUAGCUCACUGGUCGAGUGAUCCUGCGCCGAUAAUGUAACGGGGCUAAGUACAACACCGAAGCUGUGGAUUUCAGCCGCAUACACGAAAGUGGGCUGGAGUGGUAGAGGAGCGUCGAUACGCGAUUGAAGCCGCGGGGUAACCCAGUGGUGGACGCGUGUCGAGUGAGAAUGUAGGCAUGAGUAGCGAAAUGGGGGGGAGGAACCCCCACGCCGAAUGAUCAAGGGUUCCUGGGGAAGGUUCAUCCGCCCAGGGUAAGUCGGGACCUAAGGCGAGGGCGAGAGCCGUAGUCGAUGGAUAACCGGUUGAUAUUCCGGUACUACCAGUGGGCCGCUAAAUGGUGACACUUCUUUGCUAACACGACCUACGGGUCGUGGACCCAGGGAGCAGUAGCCAACCUAUGGAGUGACGGAGGAGGCUAGAAGAGCCCGGGCGAUGGUUGACCCGGGGCAAGCGUGUAGGGCGAGGGCCAGGUAAAUCCGGACCUCAUGAAGCCUGAGACGUGACGCCGACGCAUAGCGGAAGUCUUUGAUGCCAUGCUCCCAAGAAAAGCUUCUCGGGAGGACCACGGGUACCCGUACCCCAAACCAACUCAGGUGAUCAGGUAGAGAAUACCAAGGCGAUUGAGUGAACUCCGGUUAAGGAACUCGGCAAAUUGGCCCCGUAACUUCGGAAUAAGGGGCGCCUCGGCUGGUGACGGACUUCGCGUCCCGAGCUGGAAGAGGCCGCAGUGACCAGGUGGAAGCGACUGUUUACCAAAAACACAGGAGCGUGCGAACACGAAAGUGGAAGUAUACGCUCUGACUCCUGCCCGGUGCUGGAACGUUAAAUGGAGGGGUUAGCUUCGGCGAAGCUCUGAAAUCAAGCGCCAGUAAACGGCGGCGGUAACUAUAACCGUCCUAAGGUAGCGAAAUUCCUUGUCGGGUAAGUUCCGACCUGCACGAAUGGAGUAACGACUCCCACACUGUCUCAACCGGAGACUCAGCGAAAUUGCAUUACGAGUAAAGAUGCUCGUUACGCGCAGCAGGACGGAAAGACCCCGGGACCUUUACUGCAGUUUGGUAUUGGGGCUUGGUAUGUCAUGUGCAGGAUAGGUGGGAGACUAUGAAGCGGCGACGCCAGUUGUCGUGGAGUCAUCCUUGGAAUACCACCCUUGACAUACUGGGUCCCUAACUCCGAUCCGUGAUCCGGAUCAAGGACAGUGCCUGACGGGCAGUUUAACUGGGGCGGUUGCCUCCCAAAAAGUAACGGAGGCGCCCAAAGGUUCCCUCAGACCGGUCGGCAAUCGGUCGUCGAGUGUAAAGGCACAAGGGAGCUUGACUGCGAGAGAGACAUCUCAAGCAGGGUCGAAAGACGGGCUUAGUGAUCCGACGGUGGCAUGUGGAAGCGCCGUCGCUCAACGGAUAAAAGGUACCCCGGGGAUAACAGGCUUAUCCUCCCCAAGAGUCCAUAUCGACGGGAGGGUUUGGCACCUCGAUGUCGGCUCAUCGCAUCCUGGGGCUGGAGCAGGUCCCAAGGGUCGGGCUGUUCGCCCGUUAAAGCGGUACGCGAGCUGGGUUCAGAACGUCGUGAGACAGUUCGGUCCCUAUCCGCUGCGCGCGUUGGAGAAUUGAGAGGACCUGCCCCUAGUACGAGAGGACCGGGGUGGACGGAUCUCUGGUGUGCCGGUUGUCCUGCCAAGGGCAUGGCCGGUUAGCUACAUCCGGAAGAGAUAAGCGCUGAAGGCAUCUAAGCACGAAGCUUGCCUCGAGAUGAGUUCUCCCACUGCUACAAGCAGGUAAGGCCCCCAGAAGACGACUGGGUUGAUAGGCCGGAAGUAGAAGCGUCGCAAGACGUGAAGCUGACCGGUACUAAUAGGCCGAGGGCUUGCCGC